This is a long non-coding RNA of Phacochoerus africanus (Common warthog), 2576 nucleotides long. RefSeq lists it as uncharacterized. The transcript is spliced from 3 exons. NCBI's taxonomy places the organism in Eukaryota, Metazoa, Chordata, Mammalia, Artiodactyla, Suidae. The record is from RefSeq and is a predicted model, not a curated record.
CCGGUCGCGCCGGGGCCGCUGGGCUCUGAGGUGCUGGGCUGCCCGCCCGCCAGCAGCGACUGGCUGGGCACCGAGUCGCGCGAGGGGCUGCGGCCGCAAGCUCAGGAGCGCAGCCUCCAGCUUCUUCCCAAGGGCGGUCUCGCCCUUCGGCCCCUCGGCCCCUCAGCCCCGCAGUAGAGCGGCCUCCGGCUUCUCCCCAGGGGCGACCUCGGGCGCUUCUGACGGCGGCCCUGCUCCUCUGUCACCGGGGAGCCGCAGUGGGGCCCCUGGCCCCUUGGCCGUGGGUUCCAGGACGCUGCUGCAAGCACAGGGAGCUGAGAGAAAACCAGGGCUGGACCGCAGUUAAAGCGCUGCAAGCGGGUUCCGCCCGGGGCGGUUCACAGAGGGCGCAGGAGACCCCGGUGUGGAGCCAGGAUCACCCCACACACGGGGGGGCGGAAAAGAAAGGCGCCCCCCCGAAAGCUGAGCCUUACGUUUCGUGUGGCCCACAAAGCUGAGGACCCAAGCCUGGGACCCAGCAUCUCCUAACUGGGAGCCCGCUCCGUAGAGGUGAGGCAGGAGCCAGGACCUCCAGGCGGUUCCGCGGCAAAGACCAGGAAGAGGACAGAAAGCCAGAGAGCUGCACGUCACGGGGCCUCGAUAUAUGUUUGUCCUACUGGACCACAGUCAAGUUGGCACAUAAGGUGCGCACAGGUCAGGAUGAAGUGGAAAGAAACGCAAGCCUGCCUGGGCCCUGGCACGAACUUGCUGAUGACCUUCGGCAGUUCCCUUCCCCUCUCUGGGCCUCUGUUUCCGCACCUGUAAAAUGGGCCUCCAGGUGCCUUUGAUCCAGUCCUCUGGGCUCCUGCCCCGGGUUGGGGAUGGUGCCACAGAGAAAGAGGGAAAGGCCUGGGGGAGGGAGCUGGAGGUGGUUUUGUCUGUGCAGGAGGGAGUAGCGUGGGCUGGGAAGGGCAAAGGCAGACCCCCCCCCUUUCUGAAGGCCCGUUCUGGGGCUGGGGACCGGACUGGGGGCUUGGACCACAGGGAGGUUCUAAGAAGGCAGUUUGGGCCCAGCACGGGGGCUCUCUGACCACGAGGCCUUCUGUGGGAGGUGGCGAGCGCCCUGCGGGGGCGGUGUUGAGACCAGGCAGUCCCCCCGGGAGGACCGGACUGGGGCUGACUCGGAGUUCUGAAGGCCCUUCCAAGUCCAGGUGUCUGCCGUCCUCAGGACCACAGGCGGACGCGGCUCAGUCCUGUCCGUAUCUUAGGCAAAACUCACAGCGCACUGAGACCAGACCGUGCCAAGGGCUGCCAGGAACUGGGAGCAAUGGAACGUCCCUGUGCUACUGCCAGGAAUGCUGAGCAGUGCAGGCACUUUGAAAAGCAGCUUAGCUGCUCCUUAUAAAGGUGACCACACACCUGCCGUCUGACUCAGUCGUCCCAUCCCUAGAGGUUUGGAAUGAACGAGAAGUCUGUUCACACUGGAACCUGUGCGGGAAGGUUUCUAGCGGCGUUCUUCACAGAGCCCCCAAACCGAAUUCAACCCAGAUGUUUUCAGCAGGUGAAUGGGCGAGCAGCCUGGGGUACAUCUGCGUGGUGGAACACUUCUCUGUGAUAAAAAGGCAGGGGUGACCUGUGCACGUGCCGGCGUGGGCCAGUCUCAGAACCAGCACAGCCGCUGCAGGAGGACAAGCACGCAGGGCGGCUGCUCUGUGAGGUGCUCCCGUGAUGCUCUGGGAGAGGCAAGGUUACGGACCAGGGGUUGCAGGGUGGGGGUGGGGAGCAGGCCGGAGUACAGCCGGGGGACCCCGGGGGAGGUGGGUCUGCUGUAUCUUGGCUGUGACAGUGGUUACAGGAUGGAGCCUUUGUCGACACUUGGAACUGUACGUCCUGGGAGAACUCUAAGGUGUGUAGGAGAAGAACAAAUAACAGACAAUAAAAGUGGCAGAAAUGGUAGAAAGCUGCAUCCCUGACCCAGAGCAGGGGCUUACUUUAGGUGCAGGCCCAUCGCCCCCGUCAGGAUGGCCGAUGUGAGUUCGUGUCACUCUGCGCGUGUACAGAAGCAAGUGCGGGCACGGAUGUGGAGGAGGUGGAGCCCCGUGCGCUGCUCCCGGGAAUGUAAAACGGUGCAGCUGCUGUUCCUGCGUCCACCCGAGGGCAUUGAAAGCAGAGGCGCAAAGAGAUGUGAGCGUGUGCGCCACAUUCACAAUAGCGUGGCUCCCUGAAGCCAAACGUGGGAGCAACUCGAUGCCCAUUAAGGGAUGAAUGGAAAUGCCGUGUGGGACAUCCGCGCCGUGGGACAUCCUUCAGCCUUAGCGAGGAAGGAGCUCUUGACACCUGCUGCAACAACAGUGAUUUGUUCACACCCUGAAUAUCGCCGGAGGAGAGGGGUCGAGUGUGAAGGAGCCUCUGUCCACAGCAGAUGCCGCCAGAGUCCUGCCCAGGUGCCCUUGCCUCAGCCCCGCAGCACGCACGGAUCUGCUUGCCACUGCCUGGGCCGGCGUGCCACUGCUUGGGAUUGUCCCUGAAAGCUCUCAAGUCACUCAUCCGUCCAUCCGUUCUUUCUUCCAUCUGUCCAUCCUUCCUUCCAUCCUUCC